Molecule: ribosomal RNA, 1439 nt
Filed under: uncultured bacterium
Lineage: Bacteria
Description: bacterial SSU rRNA
Rfam family: Bacterial small subunit ribosomal RNA
Source: RNAcentral
AGGGUUUGAUCAUGGCUCAGAACGUACGCUGGCGGCACGCCUAACACAUGCAAGUCGAACGAAGUAGCAAUACUUAGUGGCAGACGGGUGAGUAACAUGUGGGUAUCUGCCCUUUGGCCUGGAAUAACACGAGGAAACUUGUGCUAAUACCGGAUAAGUCUUUACGGAGAAAGCUUUAUGCACCAUUGGAUGAGCCCGCACUUGAUUAGUUUGUUGGUGGGGUAAUGGCCUACCAAGACUGUGAUCAAUAGCUGAUUUGAGAGGAUGAUCAGCCACAUUGGGACUGAGACACGGCCCAAACUCCUACGGGAGGCAGCAGUGGGGAAUCUUGCACAAUGGAGGAAACUCUGAUGCAGCGAUGCCGCGUGAGUGAAGAAGGCCCUUGGGUUGUAAAGCUCUUUCGUCGGGGAAGAAAAUGACUGUACCCGAAUAAGAAGGUCCGGCUAACUUCGUGCCAGCAGCCGCGGUAAUACGAAGGGACCUAGCGUAGUUCGGAAUUACUGGGCUUAAAGAGUUCGUAGGUGGUUGAAAAAGUUAGUGGUGAAAUCCCAGAGCUUAACUCUGGAACUGCCAUUAAAACUUUUCAGCUAGAGUAUGAUAGAGGAAAGCAGAAUUUCUAGUGUAGAGGUGAAAUUCGUAGAUAUUAGAAAGAAUACCAAUUGCGAAGGCAGCUUUCUGGAUCAUUACUGACACUGAGGAACGAAAGCAUGGGUAGCGAAGAGGAUUAGAUACCCUCGUAGUCCAUGCCGUAAACGAUGUGUGUUAGACGUUGGAAAUUUAUUUUCAGUGUCGCAGCGAAAGCGAUAAACACACCGCCUGGGGAGUACGACCGCAAGGUUAAAACUCAAAUGAAUUGACGGGGACCCGCACAAGUAGUGGAGCAUGUGGUUUAAUUCGAAGAUACGCGCAGAACCUUACCAACACUUGACAUGUUCGUCGCGACUCUAAGAGAUUAGAGUUUUCGGUUCGGCCGGACGAAACACAGGUGCUGCAUGGCUGUCGUCAGCUCGUGUCGUGAGAUGUUGGGUUAAGUCCCGCAACGAGCGCAACCCUCACUUUUAGUUGCCAUCAUUAAGUUGGGCACUCUGAAAGAACUGCCAGUGAUAAGCUGGAGGAAGGUGGGGAUGACGUCAAGUCCUCAUGGCCCUUACGUGUUGGGCUACACACGUGCUACAAUGGUAUCUACAACAGGAAGCAAGACUGCGAAGUUAAGCAAAUCCCUAAAAGAUACCUCAGUUCGGAUUGCACUCUGCAACUCGAGUGCAUGAAGCUGGAAUUACUAGUAAUCGUGGAUCAGCGUGCCACGGUGAAUGCGUUCCCGGGUCUUGUACACACCGCCCGUCACACCAUGGGAGUUGGUUCUACCUUAAGGCAAGGUUUCAAACCCUUGACCACGGUAUAGUCAGCGACUGGGGUGAAGUCGUAACAAGGUAGCCGUA